Molecule: ribosomal RNA, 466 nt
Filed under: uncultured bacterium
Lineage: Bacteria
Description: partial 16S ribosomal RNA
Rfam family: Bacterial small subunit ribosomal RNA
Source: RNAcentral
GAUGAACGCUGGCGGCGUGCUUAACACAUGCAAGUCGAACGAUGAAGCCCAGCUUGCUGGGCGGAUUAGUGGCGAACGGGUGAGUAACACGUGAGUAACCUGCCCUUGACUCUGGGAUAAGCCCGGGAAACUGGGUCUAAUACCGGAUAGGAGCGCCUGUCGCAUGACGGGUGCUGGAAAGAUCUUUCGGUCAUGGAUGGACUCGCGGCCUAUCAGCUUGUUGGUGAGGUAACGGCUCACCAAGGCGACGACGGGUAGCCGGCCUGAGAGGGUGACCGGCCACACUGGGACUGAGACACGGCCCAGACCCCUACGGGAGGCAGCAGUGGGGAAUAUUGCACAAUGGUCGAAAGCCUGAUGCAGCGACGCCGCGUGAGGGAUGACGGCCUUCGGGUUGUAAACCUCUUUCAGCAGGGAAGAAGCGAAAGUGACGGUACCUGCAGAAGAAGCACCGGCUAACUACGUG